Molecule: ribosomal RNA, 474 nt
Filed under: Triticum aestivum (bread wheat)
Lineage: Eukaryota; Viridiplantae; Streptophyta; Magnoliopsida; Poales; Poaceae
Description: partial small subunit ribosomal RNA
Source: RNAcentral
AUGGCGGCGGAAGGCAAGGUCCCGACGCUGGCCGAGGAAUAUUCACUCCCACCCAAGGAGGUCCCUGUGGAAAAACCAGCUGAGGAGAAAUCUGCUACGAUCACUGAGGCCUCACCAGCUGAUGAGCCUGCUGCUGAUGUUGAGGAAAAAAGUGAAACUCCUGAGGUGAAAGAGCCAGAAGCGGAAGAAACUGUUCCUGCUGCAGAGGAAAGCGAUGCGGCUCCUGAGGAAACUGAAGAGAAACCAGAAAUUGUGAUUGAGACGGCUCCAGCAGAUUUUCGUUUCCCCACAACAAAUCAAACAAGACAUUGCUUCACACGCUAUGUUGAAUACCAUAGGUGCGUAGCUGCAAAAGGAGAUGAUGCUCCUGAGUGUGAAAAGUUUGCAAAGUACUACCGAUCACUAUGCCCAAGUGAAUGGGUUGAACGUUGGAACGAGCAACGGGAGAAUGGUACGUUCCCUGGACCCCUGUAA